AAAGUCGUAACAAGGUUUCCGUAGGUGAACCUGCGGAAGGAUCAUUACAGUGCCAGCGGUGGCGCGCCUAAACAGCGUGCCCUGCUACCGGCCACCCUUGUCUACCUUACCACUGUUGCUUCGGCGGGCCCGCUCCCGGCUACGGGGGCGACCCGGGGCUUGCCCCGGGCCAGUGCCCGCCAGAAGACACCUUAAAUUCUGUUGAUCAGUGAAUGUCUGAGUUGAUUGAUAAUCAUUAAAACUUUCAACAACGGAUCUCUUGGUUCCA
This 268-nucleotide unclassified non-coding RNA is filed under the name Ascomycota sp. RNAcentral's name for it is "partial contains small subunit ribosomal RNA, internal transcribed spacer 1, and 5.8S ribosomal RNA". The stretch from base 1 to 47 matches the Rfam family "Eukaryotic small subunit ribosomal RNA", at positions 1785 to 1831 of the family's 1831-position model. The record is from RNAcentral. Lineage: Eukaryota; Fungi; Ascomycota.